RNAcentral lists this ribosomal RNA (469 nucleotides) under Salmonella enterica. Its description in RNAcentral is "partial 23S ribosomal RNA". It matches the Rfam family "Bacterial large subunit ribosomal RNA", at positions 1 to 500 of the family's 2925-position model. Lineage: Bacteria; Pseudomonadati; Pseudomonadota; Gammaproteobacteria; Enterobacterales; Enterobacteriaceae. The record is from RNAcentral.
GGGUUGUGAGGUUAAGCGACUAAGCGUACACGGUGGAUGCCCUGGCAGUCAGAGGCGAUGAAGGGCGUGCUAAUCUGCGAUAAGCGCCGGUAAGGUGAUAUGAACCGUUAUAACCGGCGAUACCCGAAUGGGGAAACCCAGUGUGAUUCGUCACACUAUCAUUAACUGAAUCCAUAGGUUAAUGAGGCGAACCGGGGGAACUGAAACAUCUAAGUACCCCGAGGAAAAGAAAUCAACCGAGAUUCCCCCAGUAGCGGCGAGCGAACGGGGAGGAGCCCAGAGCCUGAAUCAGCAUGUGUGUUAGUGGAAGCGUCUGGAAAGGCGCGCGAUACAGGGUGACAGCCCCGUACACAAAAGCGCAUAUGCUGUGAGCUCGAUGAGUAGGGCGGGACACGUGGUAUCCUGUCUGAAUAUGGGGGGACCAUCCUCCAAGGCUAAAUACUCCUGACUGACCGAUAGUGAACCAGUA